This 357-nucleotide long non-coding RNA is filed under the name Gallus gallus (chicken). RNAcentral's name for it is "lncRNA (ENSGALG00010006813.1)". Lineage: Eukaryota; Metazoa; Chordata; Aves; Galliformes; Phasianidae. The record is from RNAcentral.
CAGAAACAUACGGCACAAAAUUAGGUGACAGGUCAAGAACAACAACGGAAAGAAGAGAAAGAACGAAAACAACGAAAACAACGGAAACAACGGAAAAUUAAUAACAACGUCAAUAAAGGAAAUAAUAACAGAAAUAACGGAAAUAAUAACAGAAAUAACGGAAAAAAUAACGGAAGCAACCUCCACAGACACAGAAACAUAAGGCAGAAAAUUAGGUGACAGGUCAAGAACAACAACGGACACAACGUAAACAACCUCCACAGAGACAGAAACAUACGGCAGAAAAUUAGGUGACAGGUCAAGAAGAACAACGGAAAGAAUGGAAACAACGAAAACAACGGAAACAACGGAAAAAAC